RNAcentral lists this unclassified non-coding RNA (279 nucleotides) under plant metagenome. RNAcentral describes it as "partial contains small subunit ribosomal RNA, internal transcribed spacer 1, and 5.8S ribosomal RNA". The record is from RNAcentral.
UUUCCGUAAGUGAACCAGCGGAAGGAUCAUUAUCGAGUAACCGAGGCGCGAGGGCUUUGGCUGACUUACCUUUGUUGGCACGGCCGAAUGCCCUCACGGACACGCAUCUCAAACCUAUGUGCACCACCGUGUCGGCAACCCCUUGGUUUGAUAGGUGUGGGGCUUUCUUUGUCGCACAAACUUUGAAUGCAGUGCUGUAUGCAUUUGUUGUUUUUGCGAUGACGCAAUCAAUAAAACCUUCAACAAGGGAUUGCAUGGCUCUGGCCUCGAUGAAGAACG